RNAcentral lists this ribosomal RNA (332 nucleotides) under uncultured eukaryote. RNAcentral describes it as "partial 18S ribosomal RNA". It matches the Rfam family "Eukaryotic small subunit ribosomal RNA", at positions 1470 to 1796 of the family's 1831-position model. The record is from RNAcentral.
CCCUUAGAUGUCCUGGGCUGCACGCGCGCUACACUGGAAGUUACGGAUUGAGAUACUACCUUGUCCGAAAUGGUCCGGGUAAUCACCUAAAAGCUUGUCAUAAUUGGAAUGGAUUAUUGUAACUAGUAAUCCUGAACGAGGAAUUCCUAGUAAGUCCCAGUCAACAGCUGGUACUGAUUACGUCCCUGCCCUUUGUACACACCGCCCGUCGCUACUACUGAUUGGACGUUUAAGCAAGAUUUUUAAACACUGACAGUGAGUAGUUCACGCUAUACUACAGUGAGAAGAAGAAGAUCGAGCUUACUUGUCUAGAGGAAGUAAAAGUCGUAACA